This 4648-nucleotide long non-coding RNA is filed under the name Podarcis lilfordi (Lilford's wall lizard). The record is from RNAcentral. Lineage: Eukaryota; Metazoa; Chordata; Lepidosauria; Squamata; Lacertidae.
GCAUGAGCAUCCUGUCAUAUUUGAGACCAUCUGUUGGCAUCUGUCUGUCUCAUGAUAUGAGGGAAGAGUACGCAUUCAGGGAUGAAAUCAAACCAUUGGACAGUUACAGCCCCUGCUUUGGCUGUAGAGACCAACAUGGGAGGAGACAUGUUUCCUGCUCAUGGAUUUUCCCUGUAACUCAAGGAUGUUACCUUUGGAUAUUUUUCAGGAAGUAGUACUUCUCUGGGGGCAGUGCCAGCCCACACAUGAGGCAAGGUAAGGUUACUGCCUCAGGCAGCAGGAUCCACAGGGGCAACAGAUACGACCUUCAAGGAAUGCAUUGCCUGCCUGCCUGCUGCUGCCGCUGCUGUGGUAGCAUCCAUGGCCCCGGUGAGCUCCUUAGAGGCUGGAUCUGCCCCCUCCUCAGCAGUGCCCCCUCCAGUGCUGCCUCUGCAGCAGCCUCUUGGCGAAUAGGAGGUGCUGCUGGUGGUCUCCCACCCUUGUUCCCAACAUAGAUCUUUAUUUACCCCUUGUUCUGCUGUAGAUCUUUUCUCACUCCUUCUUCCCUGGUAGGGGCAUGGACACCAUUUUGUGGUUUGUGUCAGAUGCCAGAUGUCUUGAGCCAGCCCUGUCUGGGGUUAUUCUUCCAUGAGAAGGAUGGAAUAUGGACCUGAUUUCAUGUAGCUGGUAGUGCUCUGCAGAUAUACAUUGCUUCAGUGACUUUCAGAAAAGCAAUAAGCUUGAUAAACAAAAGGAAAAUAAAUUAUAGCCCCCAAAAUAUCUUAACCUGCAGUGACAUAUUUCUAAUAUGGGAUUCAAGUGAAGUGUGUUGCUGCCAAAGAAAGCUGCAGCCCUGUGCACACUUAAACCAGUGAAUAAGCUCUAUUGAACGUAGUGGGACUUACUUCUGAACAAAAAUAUGUACUAUUGCUUUUUGUCUUCCACUAAUGCCCAUAGCUAAUGGUAGCAAUGAUUUUAGCAAACAUCAUUCAAAGUCCUUCGAGAUUCUGAAUCUUCUGAAACUCAUACAUAGAAAGCAGGUAUAUGUCUAUAUGAUGAUGCCACAUUGAAGAUCCCGCUACUAUACUUAUUUAUAGAUUUAUAUAGGUUUAUAUAUUUCUGUUUACAGACAAAUCUGUAGGUUGCUGACUUCUGUGUAUGAUGUUGACCAGGUAAAAUCUCUGGGGAGAUGAGGGUGUUCUAUUUGACUUCAAACAUUUUCUUCAUAGUGUAUUUGCAUUUCAUAAUUGGAGGUGGUGGGAAGGGGCAUCCAACUGACUCUGCAGAUUAUUUAUUCAUCCAUAUGUGCUAAUCUCCUUGAUUCUGCUGCAUAUACAUUUUGCAUCUGCCAACACAACCUUAACAUGUUCUGGUCAAUUAAAUUUGUCCUUUCCUUUAAUAAAAUAUUUGUCCUUUAAUACAGCUCAUUGGUCUUGAUUUCUUUGACUCAUGUUAAGUCUUCAGAAUGAAGGUGCUAUAUGACCAAGCUAUUCAAUUACAAAGGCAUUGUGUAGAUACACUUUAUGAAGCCAGCAAAUUUCAGAGUCCAAACGGUGUGAGGACUUCCAUUCAACACAAUAGUAUUGACUAAGGGAAAGAGUGAAAGUAUAUGUUCUGUGGUGAGAAUAAUAAAAAAAUAGUCUUUACUAAGUACAUAGGUAUAAGUGGAAGUACAGGUCAAGGUUGAAAGUGGGUAUUUUAGUUAUCAUGAAUAAUUUGGGCUGGAUUUGCACUCAUUAAUUCUAAUGCUGACUGCAUACAUUAAAAGCCCAUCACUGAAAACUAGAAAUAUUUCACAGAGCUCCAAUAAAUUUUUUUAGGCUGAAUAUGACAAUUACAUUAUUUAAAGCCAAAUUAAAAAUCCACAAUAGCUGAACUCAGUCUUUUGUAGCUAUAAUCUCAGAAAAGAAGCUAAGGAUAGGCUAAAAUUUGAUGAAACACUUGUGUUUUUAGAUUUAGAGAUGACCUUUAGACUGAAAAUGUGACACUGCCCCCAAACCCAUCCUGGGGAAACAAUAAAGAAACAUAAAUGGAUUUCAACUGGGACAGGAUUUAGGUUACUGUUUCCUGAGAUAGUCCUUGCAGAAAGAAAUCCAGUAAGAUAAUACAUUUUCUGGAAGCAUUUCCUCCUAUUUUGAUUGUAUAAGCUGAAGCUCUUUAUCUAUACUUGCACAUCAUGUACUUACUUCAAAAUGUUUCUUUAUUGCUGUUCCACCUCAUGACUCAUCUUCACCUUUGAUGCCCCAUUCAUAGUAUUUCAUUGUGACAUUUAUAGGAAGAACCUUUUGGACCCUGCCUAUGUUAUUGGGUGGAGGAAAGGAAUUACAGAUGCUGAUCAUGAUUAAAAUCAAUAAUGGAAGUUAAAUGCCAUGUGACAGGACUCAAAAUAUGCUACUUGCUGAAGAAAGCAAGGUGUUCAAUAGAAUUAUGUGAUAUUCUGAUGGUCUGUGCUUUACAAUAGAUUUUACUGCAAUGCUAAAUCAAUGGGCUUGUGUUUUAAUACUUUGCAGCAACUUUGUUGAUCUACAGCUGGGCAAAAUGUGUUAGCAGAGCCUCAUUGAAGCGGAAGAACAACUGUGCAUCUGGAACAGAAAAGUUUGGAAAGCUAAAGCAAGUGCCAGUCGCUUAAUGUAAAUUCUUACAGAAAAAUCCUAAUCUAAAAGUAAGGUGCGGUUGCUGCUUUUGUGCAGUUUUGUGACCACUUCCAUAACUUUUGCACAAUGUUAGUGGGACACACAGAGAAAUUAAAUAUCCCUGACUGGACCUCCCAACAUAUUUUUCUUUGUUUAAAACCAAUCAAGCAUCCUCUCUGUUUCAGUUGGCGCUGCAUUGCUGGGUGGGGAAGUUAACCCUCCAUUUCUGUAAUUUAGCUAAUUUCCUGCCAAGGCAGUUGUUAGCCAUGGAGGCAGGAGCUGGGGAAAGACAGAUAAAAUAUGGACUUCAGGGACUGGGAAGAAUUAAAUUGGGUUGACAAAUGCUGCCCCAAAUCUACAGACCUGAUCUGAAUCAUACUCCUUCCUCCAGUGAUGGUUUCUAAGCAAAGACACUUCACAUCUAGUCUGGCCCUUUUUCAACUAGUUUUUACUACAUUUGGGAUCAAAUAUAUUUAUUGAGUGUGAAGACUGCACUCUCUGAAAACACUGUCCACUGUUAAGAUUAAAAAAAACUAUCUGUCAUUUUCAGUUGUUUGAGAAAAGUCAGACUACUUGCUCUGUUGGAUGAAGUUUGUUUUCAUUUCACAUUUAAAUCUAUUAUCAUGGCUUUAAAAAUCUCAACAGCAAAGUUAUCAUGAGCUUUCUAGAAAUGAAAGGGUGAUAAAUAAAUAUAUUUUAACGUGUACAAAAGUUCCUUAAACAGCAACGAUUGGCAAAAUAGUGGAGGAACAAUUUUGCUGAAAGCACUUGAUUUUGCAAAUGUCAUUUAAACAUUUGAGUCUCAUCAAUGUGCAACACUGCAAUAUAAUUCAGUCCAUUGAGUACAGUCCUGAUUAUAUGACAUUCAGGAGUGCAUGAGAUUCUGCUCAUAAGCACAGGAUGCAAAAUUAUUUAUCAUAAUAUAGCAAAGCAUGCAUGAAUAAACCACCCAUUCAGAGCCUAUUUGUCUUUCUUUUGGCAUUGGCUGCUUUGUAUUGUUCCAAUAGUGCAAAGAAGACAGCCAUCUUAACAGGCUGUCUGCUAAUUGCUCUUGCACAAGGAGACUCAUUAGCUGGCCCAAGAGUCCAUAGAGUCAGCUUCAUUUAGAGGGCACAAUUCAUUGGAAUAAGCAAAUACAGUUCAAGUUAAUGAAGGUGUACUUCAUUGGAUGUAAUGAAUGUAUUGCUGUUGCUGUAAUAUGGUGACUUUGAAUGGGAGGAGACAUACACAGUAAUUGAAAUAAAAACUUCCCAGAAGUUUUCUGUAACUAAUUCCCUCUUUUUAUCACGUCCUCAGUCUUCUUUAUGAGAUAAUUGGAGUUACAUUUCUAUAAUUUACUUUUCCUCAACACUUUCUCAUUAUUUCUGGCAAUUAGUUGAGACACCUAGAAGUUGUCCCAUAGCAGAUAAAAAUCAAUUUAUUUAAUAAGAUGGCACUACAUUUUUCAGAAGAAACUUUGUUCAGACUUUUCUAGUAAGCAGGCUGAUGAGAGUUGAAAAUGGGUGGCCCUUUGGAAUACCACAUUAGGACCUGGGCUGUGUGUUUUGUACUCCAGACUGGUGAUUGUGGUGAUAUAUGAAUAUAGUUUGUAUAACUAUUUCUCAAGGGCUAAGGCAGUUCUAGGUACUCUUGCUUCAAUUGGAGCUGUUAAUCAGAAACAAUUAGUAUUUGGCAGCAAGAAAAGUCUUGCUUCCAACAAGUGAUAAGAAAGUUCAAAAUGGCAGCCCCUUUACAUGGCCAGCCUGCACAUGAGGUGGACUGAAGCAGCGACUUUGGCUGGCAGAAUCCCAUGGGUUUCUCAAAAACAAGUUGUGCUAGACAAAUCUUAUAUCUUUUUAUGAUGGAGUUACAAGCUUGGUGGAUCAGAGGAAUGCUGUGGACAUAGGGUAUCUUGAUUUCAGUAAGGCUAUUGACAAGCUCUCCCAUGGUAUUGUUGCAGAGAAGUUUGUAAAAUGUGGACUAGACAAGGUAACUGUUGGGUGGAUUUGUAGCUGGUUGACUGACUGAACCCAAAGGGUGCUCACUAAUGGUUUCUC